CCGGCCCAGCCAGGCUCGGCUCUGCCCUCCGCCUCCUCUCCCCUCUCGCCCGCCCUGCUUCCCGCCCUCUCCUCCCGCCGGGCCGGGGAGGGAGAGCGGCGCGGCCCGAGGUGUCGGCCUCCCCUCGCCUCCCGCUGGCCCGGCCCCGGGCUCCCCUCUGCCUCCCUCCCUUCCUCCCGCCCCCCUCUUCCUCUCCCGGCCCCCACCUCCCCGCGCUCCGCGUCUUCCUCCCGCAGCCCCGCUCCCGCCUCGGACUCGCUCUCCUCGACUUGUGCGCGGGGAUCUGUCCGUCGGGAUCGGCGGGACCCCGCCUCGCUGGGGCUCCAGGUGGCCGGCUCCCCAGUGGCCAGGGGAGUGCACAUGGGUGGGGGAUUUGUAAUUCAUUAAUCAGCACGAGGCACCCGGACCAGUUUCCACACCAGGACUUCGGGGGUGACUCAUCAAGAAUGCUCCAGUUCAACCGACGGAGAGACCCCGUUUGUGAAACGCUUCCCCAUAAAGACAUUUGGCUUCCUCCCGCCUGUAGGGUUCAGGUUGUUGGCUCUCCCCGGCGCUGGGGUAGGGGUGCUCCGCCUGUGGUGUGACCUCCCUCCCCUCCCUCCCCUCCCUUCCCUCGGGCCUGUGUUGGGACUCGCUGAGGCGGGAUUCCCCGGGGGACCCAGGAGCCUAGACCCCCCCUGGAGGGUCCUCCUGCGGCUGCAGAGGGCUGCUAGGAAGCGUGCAGGGAAACAGCUUCCACCUGGGGUCGUGCCGUCAUUCCAUCUGCACUGCCCGGAGCUCUACAAGCAGACCAGCAAUAAAACCAUUUGGUAAUGA
This is a long non-coding RNA of Phyllostomus discolor (pale spear-nosed bat), 816 nucleotides long. RefSeq lists it as uncharacterized. The record is from RefSeq and is a predicted model, not a curated record. The transcript has 2 exons. Lineage: Eukaryota; Metazoa; Chordata; Mammalia; Chiroptera; Phyllostomidae.